AGAGUUUGAUCCUGGCUCAGAUUGAACGCUGGCGGCAGGCCUAACACAUGCAAGUCGAGCGGUAGAGAGAAGCUUGCUUCUCUUGAGAGCGGCGGACGGGUGAGUAAUGCCUAGGAAUCUGCCUGGUAGUGGGGGAUAACGUCCGGAAACGGACGCUAAUACCGCAUACGUCCUACGGGAGAAAGCAGGGGACCUUCGGGCCUUGCGCUAUCAGAUGAGCCUAGGUCGGAUUAGCUAGUUGGUGAGGUAAUGGCUCACCAAGGCGACGAUCCGUAACUGGUCUGAGAGGAUGAUCAGUCACACUGGAACUGAGACACGGUCCAGACUCCUACGGGAGGCAGCAGUGGGGAAUAUUGGACAAUGGGCGAAAGCCUGAUCCAGCCAUGCCGCGUGUGUGAAGAAGGUCUUCGGAUUGUAAAGCACUUUAAGUUGGGAGGAAGGGUACUUACCUAAUACGUGAGUAUUUUGACGUUACCGACAGAAUAAGCACCGGCUAACUCUGUGCCAGCAGCCGCGGUAACACAGAGGGUGCAAGCGUUAAUCGGAAUUACUGGGCGUAAAGCGCGCGUAGGUGGUUCGUUAAGUUGGAUGUGAAAUCCCCGGGCUCAACCUGGGAACUGCAUCCAAAACUGGCGAGCUAGAGUAUGGUAGAGGGUGGUGGAAUUUCCUGUGUAGCGGUGAAAUGCGUAGAUAUAGGAAGGAACACCAGUGGCGAAGGCGACCACCUGGACUGAUACUGACACUGAGGUGCGAAAGCGUGGGGAGCAAACAGGAUUAGAUACCCUGGUAGUCCACGCCGUAAACGAUGUCAACUAGCCGUUGGGAGCCUUGAGCUCUUAGUGGCGCAGCUAACGCAUUAAGUUGACCGCCUGGGGAGCACGGCCGCAA
This 888-nucleotide ribosomal RNA is filed under the name uncultured bacterium. RNAcentral describes it as "bacterial SSU rRNA". It matches the Rfam family "Bacterial small subunit ribosomal RNA", at positions 8 to 891 of the family's 1533-position model. The record is from RNAcentral.